Molecule: unclassified non-coding RNA, 345 nt
Filed under: soil metagenome
Description: partial contains 5.8S ribosomal RNA, internal transcribed spacer 2, and large subunit ribosomal RNA
Rfam family: 5.8S ribosomal RNA (bases 1-120)
Source: RNAcentral
GAUGAAGAACGUAGCGAAAUGCGAUAACUAAUGUGAAUUGCAGAAUUCCGUGAAUCAUCGAGUCUUUGAACGCACAUUGCGCCCCCUGGUAUUCCGGGGGGCAUGCCUGUCCGAGCGUCAUUGCUGCCCAUCAAGCACGGCUUGUGUGUUGGGUCCUCGUCCCCCCCGGGGGACGUGCCCGAAAGGCAGCGGCGGCACCGCGUCCGGUCCUCGAGCGUAUGGGGCUUUGUCACGCGCUCUGCAGGCCCGGCCGGCGCUGGCCGACGCGAAAGCAACCAUUUUUUCUCCAGGUUGACCUCGGAUCAGGUAGGGAUACCCGCUGAACUUAAGCAUAUCAAUAGAGGA